Non-coding RNA from Aedes albopictus (Asian tiger mosquito), 74 nucleotides. The record is from Rfam. NCBI's taxonomy places the organism in Eukaryota, Metazoa, Arthropoda, Insecta, Diptera, Culicidae.
AGCUCCGUAGCUUGAAGGAAAGAAGCGCCCGUCUAGCAAAUUGGGAGUCGUGGGUUCGAUUCCUACUGGAGCAC